RNAcentral lists this ribosomal RNA (440 nucleotides) under uncultured bacterium. RNAcentral's name for it is "bacterial SSU rRNA". It matches the Rfam family "Bacterial small subunit ribosomal RNA", at positions 338 to 794 of the family's 1533-position model. The record is from RNAcentral.
CCUACGGGAGGCAGCAGUGGGGAAUAUUGGACAAUGGGGGCAACCCUGAUCCAGCAAUGCCGCGUGUGUGAUGAAGGCCUUAGGGUUGUAAAGCACUUUCACUGGGGAAGAUAAUGACGGUAACCGGAGAAGAAACCCCGGCUAACUUCGUGCCAGCAGCCGCGGUAAUACGAAGGGGGCGAGCGUUGUUCGGAAUUACUGGGCGUAAAGGGCGCGUAGGCGGUCUUUUAAGUUAGGCGUGAAAGCCCCGGGCUCAACCCGGGAACUGCGUUUAAGACUGGAAGACUAGAAAACGGAAGAGGGUAGUGGAAUUCCCAGUGUAGAGGUGAAAUUCGUAGAUAUUGGGAAGAACACCAGUGGCGAAUGCGGCUACCUGGUCCGAUUUUGACGCUGAGGCCCGAAAGCGUGGGGAGCAAACAGGAUUAAAUACCCCUGGUAGA